GGUGACGUACCAAAAUGGCUAAUGGGACGGUUUGCAAAACCGUUUUGUGUCGGUUCGAUUCCGACCGUCACCUCCA
This 76-nucleotide transfer RNA is filed under the name Bdellovibrionales bacterium GWB1_55_8. RNAcentral's name for it is "tRNA-Cys". It matches the Rfam family "tRNA". Rfam says of the family: Transfer RNA (tRNA) molecules are approximately 80 nucleotides in length. Their secondary structure includes four short double-helical elements and three loops (D, anti-codon, and T loops). The record is from RNAcentral. Lineage: Bacteria; Pseudomonadati; Bdellovibrionota; Bdellovibrionia; Bdellovibrionales.